UAAUCGCGGAUCAGCAUGCCGCGGUGAAUACGUUCCCGGGCCUUGUACACACCGCCCGUCACACCAUGGGAGCCGGUAAUACCCGAAGUCAGUAGCCUAACCGCAAGGGGGGGCGCUGCCGAAGGUAGGAUUGGCGACUGGGGUGAAGUCGUAACAAGGUACC
This 163-nucleotide ribosomal RNA is filed under the name uncultured bacterium. Its description in RNAcentral is "partial 16S ribosomal RNA". It matches the Rfam family "Bacterial small subunit ribosomal RNA", at positions 1339 to 1500 of the family's 1533-position model. The record is from RNAcentral.